GAAUACCCAAAUCUCCAUCUCCACCGCCACCCGCUCGAUCCACACCACCACCGCCGCCCCUGCCUGGGAAUAAGGCUGCCAGAGUUCCUGUUGGACCCGGAGGCGGCGGCCCUUGACGACAUCGUUGACCUGCCAUCUGCAGGGACGCACACGAUGCCAAUCCACGGAUCCUCGUGUUUGUGGAAAUCACGAUCCAGCACCACCGCCGCUAGGGAUCGCCCCCCGCCACCUCCUGACUGUAUGCCACGGCUCGAACGCGCCGAAUGCAAUCUGUCCGCCGCCGCUCGCUGGUUCAUACCUUGCCCGCUGCCUCUGUACCUGCUCGGUCUUCGUCUGAACUCGGCCUGGAGGUCGCCUGAUUGAGCGACGCGCCCACGACCUCGUACGUAUCAGGUGCUAAUUAGGUACGUCGCAGUUUAUUUUUACCAAGAAAGAGGGAGAGGAUGGGGAUGACGGCGUGGUUGAUCCGGCAGCCGUCUCGCUUGUAUGUUCCCGAGGCACCGCGUAACUUCUUUCCAGACCUAGCCAAGAGAGAAGAUGAGGCAGCGGGAAAUUGAUGUGUAUCUUGAGGACAAGGAAUUGUAGAACUUGAAGCGGAUUCAGGGGAAGUUCGUCAUCCACCAUAAGUGGCUUCAGUCUGAAUAUGAUUUGUCUUGAUGCAAACAACAGGUGGCCUUAUGAUAUGACCUAUUCCAGGGAUGUGGGAGGCCAUGGUGCAACCUCUUCGCAUUGUGGAAAAUUCUAUGUCAUUCACAGUGGAAUUGAUCCGAUACCAAGUAACAAAGAGUUUUCUUCACAGCUCUUUAUUUUAUGCUGCUUCAGUUCCAUUGUACUCAUGAGAAUAUUGUCGAAAGAAAGAUUACUGCAGAAUGGGCAUUGCAUCGGAAGCUUGGAUUACAGCAAAUUGAAGACACUUAUCAUCAGAAUCAUCACCUAUUUCAAAGCCCAGAAUGGAUCCACUUCAUCAAACACGCAACGAUAGCCAGGUCAGUCGCUUUUGAGUGAUAAACUUCUAAUGUUUCAGUAGAAAAAUGCUUCCUUUUGUAAGGUUAUUUUAUUCUCUUCAAAACAAUAAAACUGACAAUGUCGUAUUUUCUUUCGAGGUGACUAUUCUUGGUUGACCUCCAGAGCAUCCAAUACAAUUUGAUUUCUUCUUUGGUAAAACUUGUUCUAACCUAAUAUGAGCCUCCUUAGCUCCACAACAUCCUACACUAUCUAGCCCACCAUUAUAAAGGAAUCAGAGACUUGCCUGAUAUUUAUGCUGCAUAGAUGCGCUGUCUCCAACUUCAUUCUUCUUCCAUUUAUGUGUGAACCUUGAGGCUUUGGUAUCCAUUACCUCAACCUGUUGCUAUGCAUUAUUGGAUCAGUAUCUUUCAUUUGGAAAAUGUUCCCUCCAGUUGCAAAUAAUUCUCCAAAAAUAGAUGUAUCUAGACAUGUUUUAGUGAGUAGAUAUGUCUAUUUUUUGGCAACUAUUUUGAACCGGUUGGAGUAGUAGACUAGAAGUGACUGUUUUAGGAUGACGAGGUGGAUAAGAUGUGUAUGUGGAAGAAACGAUCCA
Long non-coding RNA from Lolium rigidum, 1558 nucleotides. RefSeq lists it as uncharacterized. The transcript has 3 exons. The record is from RefSeq and is a predicted model, not a curated record. NCBI's taxonomy places the organism in Eukaryota, Viridiplantae, Streptophyta, Magnoliopsida, Poales, Poaceae.